GUGCAUUUUGCCAGCACAUAUACUAAAACUGGAGCAAUACAGAGAAGAUUAGCAUGGCACCUGCCCAAGGAUGACACACAAAUUCUUGAAACUUUCCAUGCUUUU
Small nuclear RNA from Cynocephalus volans (Philippine flying lemur), 105 nucleotides. The record is from RefSeq and is a predicted model, not a curated record. NCBI's taxonomy places the organism in Eukaryota, Metazoa, Chordata, Mammalia, Dermoptera, Cynocephalidae.